This 403-nucleotide ribosomal RNA is filed under the name uncultured bacterium. RNAcentral's name for it is "partial 16S ribosomal RNA". It matches the Rfam family "Bacterial small subunit ribosomal RNA", at positions 30 to 526 of the family's 1533-position model. The record is from RNAcentral.
AUUGAACGCUGGCGGCAGGCUUAACACAUGCAAGUCGAGCGAGCGGCGGACGGGUGAGUAAUGUAUGGGGACUGCCCGAUAGAGGGGGAUAACUACUGGAAACGGUGGCUAAUACCGCAUACUAUCGGAUAACCCAUAUUGGAUUAGCUAGUAGGUGGUGUAAAGGCUCACCAAGGCGACGAUCUCUAGCUGGUCUGAGAGGAUGAUCAGCAACACUGGGACUGAGACACGGCCCAGACUCCGACGGAGGCAGCAGUGGGGAAUAUUGGACAAUGGGGGCAAGCCUGAUCCAGCCAUCCCGGGUGUAUGAUGAAGGCCUUAGGGUUGUAAAGUACUUUUAGCGGGGAAGCGGUAUCUGCAGAAUAAGCACCGGCUAACUCCGUGCCAGCAGCCGCGGUAAUAC